This 2900-nucleotide ribosomal RNA is filed under the name Klebsiella pneumoniae BIDMC 48. Its description in RNAcentral is "bacterial LSU rRNA". It matches the Rfam family "Bacterial large subunit ribosomal RNA". Lineage: Bacteria; Pseudomonadati; Pseudomonadota; Gammaproteobacteria; Enterobacterales; Enterobacteriaceae. The record is from RNAcentral.
UUAAGCGACUAAGCGUACACGGUGGAUGCCCUGGCAGUCAGAGGCGAUGAAGGACGUGCUAAUCUGCGAAAAGCGUCGGUAAGGUGAUAUGAACCGUUAUAACCGGCGAUGUCCGAAUGGGGAAACCCAGUGCAAUUCGUUGCACUAUCGUUAACUGAAUACAUAGGUUAACGAGGCGAACCGGGGGAACUGAAACAUCUAAGUACCCCGAGGAAAAGAAAUCAACCGAGAUUCCCCCAGUAGCGGCGAGCGAACGGGGAGCAGCCCAGAGUUUGAAUCAGCUUGUGUGUUAGUGGAACGGUCUGGAAAGUCCGACGGUACAGGGUGAUAGUCCCGUACACCAAAAUGCACAGGCUGUGAACUCGAAGAGUAGGGCGGGACACGUGGUAUCCUGUCUGAAUAUGGGGGGACCAUCCUCCAAGGCUAAAUACUCCUGACUGACCGAUAGUGAACCAGUACCGUGAGGGAAAGGCGAAAAGAACCCCGGCGAGGGGAGUGAAAAAGAACCUGAAACCGUGUACGUACAAGCAGUGGGAGCACCUUCGGGUGUGACUGCGUACCUUUUGUAUAAUGGGUCAGCGACUUAUAUUCUGUAGCAAGGUUAACCGUAUAGGGGAGCCGCAGGGAAACCGAGUCUUAACUGGGCGUUAAGUUGCAGGGUAUAGACCCGAAACCCGGUGAUCUAGCCAUGGGCAGGUUGAAGGUUGGGUAACACUAACUGGAGGACCGAACCGACUAAUGUUGAAAAAUUAGCGGAUGACUUGUGGCUGGGGGUGAAAGGCCAAUCAAACCGGGAGAUAGCUGGUUCUCCCCGAAAGCUAUUUAGGUAGCGCCUCGUGAAUUCAUCUUCGGGGGUAGAGCACUGUUUCGGCUAGGGGGUCAUCCCGACUUACCAACCCGAUGCAAACUACGAAUACCGAAGAAUGUUAUCACGGGAGACACACGGCGGGUGCUAACGUCCGUCGUGAAGAGGGAAACAACCCAGACCGCCAGCUAAGGUCCCAAAGUCAUGGUUAAGUGGGAAACGAUGUGGGAAGGCACAGACAGCCAGGAUGUUGGCUUAGAAGCAGCCAUCAUUUAAAGAAAGCGUAAUAGCUCACUGGUCGAGUCGGCCUGCGCGGAAGAUGUAACGGGGCUAAACCAUGCACCGAAGCUGCGGCAGCGACACUAUGUGUUGUUGGGUAGGGGAGCGUUCUGUAAGCCUGCGAAGGUGACCUGUGAGGGUUGCUGGAGGUAUCAGAAGUGCGAAUGCUGACAUAAGUAACGAUAAAGCGGGUGAAAAGCCCGCUCGCCGGAAGACCAAGGGUUCCUGUCCAACGUUAAUCGGGGCAGGGUGAGUCGACCCCUAAGGCGAGGCCGAAAGGCGUAGUCGAUGGGAAACAGGUUAAUAUUCCUGUACUUGGUGUUACUGCGAAGGGGGGACGGAGAAGGCUAUGUUAGCCGGGCGACGGUUGUCCCGGUUUAAGCAUGUAGGCUGGUUAUCCAGGCAAAUCCGGAUAAUCAAGGCUGAGGUGUGAUGACGAGGCACUACGGUGCUGAAGUAACAAAUGCCCUGCUUCCAGGAAAAGCCUCUAAGCAUCAGGUAACAUCAAAUCGUACCCCAAACCGACACAGGUGGUCAGGUAGAGAAUACCAAGGCGCUUGAGAGAACUCGGGUGAAGGAACUAGGCAAAAUGGUGCCGUAACUUCGGGAGAAGGCACGCUGGUGUGUAGGUGAAGUCCCUGCGGAUGGAGCUGAGACCAGUCGAAGAUACCAGCUGGCUGCAACUGUUUAUUAAAAACACAGCACUGUGCAAACACGAAAGUGGACGUAUACGGUGUGACGCCUGCCCGGUGCCGGAAGGUUAAUUGAUGGGGUUAUCCGUAAGGAGAAGCUCUUGAUCGAAGCCCCGGUAAACGGCGGCCGUAACUAUAACGGUCCUAAGGUAGCGAAAUUCCUUGUCGGGUAAGUUCCGACCUGCACGAAUGGCGUAAUGAUGGCCAGGCUGUCUCCACCCGAGACUCAGUGAAAUUGAACUCGCUGUGAAGAUGCAGUGUACCCGCGGCAAGACGGAAAGACCCCGUGAACCUUUACUAUAGCUUGACACUGAACAUUGAGCCUUGAUGUGUAGGAUAGGUGGGAGGCUUUGAAGCGUGGACGCCAGUCUGCGUGGAGCCAACCUUGAAAUACCACCCUUUAAUGUUUGAUGUUCUAACGUUGGCCCCUUACCGGGGUUGCGGACAGUGUCUGGUGGGUAGUUUGACUGGGGCGGUCUCCUCCCAAAGCGUAACGGAGGAGCACGAAGGUUAGCUAAUCCUGGUCGGACAUCAGGAGGUUAGUGCAAUGGCAUAAGCUAGCUUGACUGCGAGCGUGACGGCGCGAGCAGGUGCGAAAGCAGGUCAUAGUGAUCCGGUGGUUCUGAAUGGAAGGGCCAUCGCUCAACGGAUAAAAGGUACUCCGGGGAUAACAGGCUGAUACCGCCCAAGAGUUCAUAUCGACGGCGGUGUUUGGCACCUCGAUGUCGGCUCAUCACAUCCUGGGGCUGAAGUAGGUCCCAAGGGUAUGGCUGUUCGCCAUUUAAAGUGGUACGCGAGCUGGGUUUAGAACGUCGUGAGACAGUUCGGUCCCUAUCUGCCGUGGGCGCUGGAGAAUUGAGGGGGGCUGCUCCUAGUACGAGAGGACCGGAGUGGACGCAUCACUGGUGUUCGGGUUGUCAUGCCAAUGGCACUGCCCGGUAGCUAAAUGCGGAAGAGAUAAGUGCUGAAAGCAUCUAAGCACGAAACUUGCCCCGAGAUGAGUUCUCCCUGAGACUUUAAGUCUCCUGAAGGAACGUUGAAGACGACGACGUUGAUAGGCCGGGUGUGUAAGCGCAGCGAUGCGUUGAGCUAACCGGUACUAAUGAACCGUGAGGCUUAACCUU